Molecule: ribosomal RNA, 460 nt
Filed under: uncultured bacterium
Lineage: Bacteria
Description: partial 16S ribosomal RNA
Rfam family: Bacterial small subunit ribosomal RNA
Source: RNAcentral
CCUACGGGUGGCAGCAGUGAGGAAUAUUGGUCAAUGGACGAGAGUCUGAACCAGCCAAGUAGCGUGAAGGAUGACUGCCCUAUGGGUUGUAAACUUCUUUUAUAUGGGAAUAAAAUGUUCCACGUGUGGGUUUUUGUAUGUACUAUAUGAAUAAGGAUCGGCUAACUCCGUGCCAGCAGCCGCGGUAAUACGGAGGAUCCGAGCGUUAUCCGGAUUUAUUGGGUUUAAAGGGAGCGUAGGUGGAUUGUUAAGUCAGUUGUGAAAGUUUGCGGCUCAACCGUAAAAUUGCAGUUGAAACUGGCAGUCUUGAGUACAGUAGAGGUGGGCGGAAUUCGUGGUGUAGCGGUGAAAUGCUUAGAUAUCACGAAGAACUCCGAUUGCGAAGGCAGCGCACUGGACUGCAACUGACACUGAGGCUCGAAAGUGUGGGUAUCAAACAGGAUUAGAUACCCUUGUAGUC